RNAcentral lists this ribosomal RNA (468 nucleotides) under uncultured bacterium. RNAcentral's name for it is "partial 16S ribosomal RNA". It matches the Rfam family "Bacterial small subunit ribosomal RNA", at positions 28 to 507 of the family's 1533-position model. The record is from RNAcentral.
GACGAACGCUGGCGGCGUGCUUAACACAUGCAAGUCGAACGGAAAGGCCCUGCUUUUGUGGGGUGCUCGAGUGGCGAACGGGUGAGUAACACGUGAGUAACCUGCCCUUGACUUUGGGAUAACUUCAGGAAACUGGGGCUAAUACCGGAUAGGAGCUCCUGCUGCAUGGUGGGGGUUGGAAAGUUUCGGCGGUUGGGGAUGGACUCGCGGCUUAUCAGCUUGUUGGUGGGGUAGUGGCUUACCAAGGCUUUGACGGGUAGCCGGCCUGAGAGGGUGACCGGACACAUUGGGACUGAGAUACGGCCCAGACUCAUACGGGAGGCAGCAGUGGGGAAUAAUGCACAAUGGGCGGAAGCCUGAUGCAGCAACGCCGCGUGCGGGAUGACGGCCUUCGGGUUGUAAACCGCUUUCGCCUGUGACGAAGCGUGAGUGACGGUAAUGGGUAAAGAAGCACCGACUAACUACGUG